Lagopus leucura (white-tailed ptarmigan) is the source of this 396-nucleotide long non-coding RNA. RefSeq lists it as uncharacterized. The transcript is spliced from 4 exons. Lineage: Eukaryota; Metazoa; Chordata; Aves; Galliformes; Phasianidae. The record is from RefSeq and is a predicted model, not a curated record.
CAGUGGGCCACUGCUUUCAGAAGAACCUUGCCUUUCUGAUCCUCUUGACCUCUGGAAAUGUUUGCCCGUUUUUAAGACUGAUCUACAAAUUAAGAGCAUACUUGGCCCACAUCUGCUUCAAGAGACACAAACUCACUGUGCUCAUGUUCCAAAGGAAGUAACACGCCACAGCAGCAAACCCGAUCAGUCCUAUUGCAAGACUAUUGCAUCAGACUGAUAUAGCCAGUUGGAGACUGAAACUGGUAAUGAAUGUAGCAAUCAGUUUAGUGAGCCAUUGAGCGGUGGGAGACAAGCAGCAUUUCAUCUUCUAAGGUCUUCACUGACUGCUUAAUUGAUUCCAGAAGAUGUUUAAGAUGUUAUAAUUCACGUUAUAUGGGAGCUGCUGAGUCACAGCCU